CCUACGGGUGGCAGCAGUGAGGAAUAUUGGUCAAUGGACGAGAGUCUGAACCAGCCAAGUAGCGUGAAGGAUGACUGCCCUAUGGGUUGUAAACUGCUUUUAUAUGGGAAUAAAAUGUUCCACGUGUGGGAUUUUGUAUGUACCAUAUGAAUAAGGAUCGGCUAACUCCGUGCCAGCAGCCGCGGUAAUACGGAGGAUCCGAGCGUUAUCCGGAUUUAUUGGGUUUAAAGGGAGCGUAGGUGGAUUGUUAAGUCAGCUGUGAAAGUUUGCGGCUCAACCGUAAAAUUGCAGUUGACACUGGCAGUCUUGAGUACAGGAGAGGUAGGCGGAAUUCGUGGUGUAGCGGUGAAAUGCUUAGAUAUCACGAAGAACUCCGAUUGCGAAGGCAGUUCACUGGACUGCAACUGACACUGAGGCUCGAAAGUGUGGAUAUCAAACAGGAUUAGAUACCCCGGUAGUC
This 460-nucleotide ribosomal RNA is filed under the name uncultured bacterium. RNAcentral describes it as "partial 16S ribosomal RNA". It matches the Rfam family "Bacterial small subunit ribosomal RNA", at positions 338 to 795 of the family's 1533-position model. The record is from RNAcentral.